Molecule: ribosomal RNA, 483 nt
Filed under: uncultured Eubacteriales bacterium
Lineage: Bacteria; Bacillati; Bacillota; Clostridia; Eubacteriales
Description: bacterial SSU rRNA
Rfam family: Bacterial small subunit ribosomal RNA
Source: RNAcentral
UACUCGUGCUAGGGAUAAACGCUGCGGCGCACAUAAGACAUGCAAGUCGAACGAACUUAACUCAUCUUUUUAGAUUGAGAGCGGUUAGUGGCGGACUGGUGAGUAACACGUAAGCAACCUGCCUAUCAGAGGGGAAUAACAGUGAGAAAUCAUUGCUAAUACCGCAUAAGCUAGUAGUAUCACAUGAUACAGCUAGAAAAGGAGUAAUCCGCUGAUAGAUGGGCUUGCGCCUGAUUAGCUAGUUGGUGGGGUAACGGCCUACCAAGGCGACGAUCAGUAGCCGAACUGAGAGGUUGAACGGCCACAUUGGGACUGAGAUACGGCCCAGACUCCUACGGGAGGCAGCAGUCGGGAAUAUUGCGCAAUGGAGGAAACUCUGACGCAGUGACGCCGCGUAUAGGAAGAAGGCUUUCGGAUUGUAAACUAUUGUCGUGAGGGAAGAAGAUGACAGUACCUCAGGAGGAAGCUCCGGCUAACUAUGUG